Molecule: ribosomal RNA, 497 nt
Filed under: uncultured bacterium
Lineage: Bacteria
Description: partial 16S ribosomal RNA
Rfam family: Bacterial small subunit ribosomal RNA
Source: RNAcentral
GAUGAACGCUGGCGGCGUGCCUAAUACAUGCAGGUCGAGCGAACGGACGAGAAGCUUGCUUCUCUGAUGUUAGCGGCGGACGGGUGAGUAACACGUGGAUAACCUACCUAUAAGACUGGGAUAACUUCGGGAAACCGGAGCUAAUACCGGAUAAUAUUUUGAACCGCAUGGUUCAAAAGUGAAAGACGGUCUUGCUGUCACUUAUAGAUGGAUCCGCGCUGCAUUAGCUAGUUGGUAAGGUAACGGCUUACCAAGGCAACGAUGCGUAGCCGACCUGAGAGGGUGAUCGGCCACACUGGAACUGAGACACGGUCCAGACUCCUACGGGAGGCAGCAGUAGGGAAUCUUCCGCAAUGGGCGAGAGCCUGGCGGAGCAGCGCCGCGUGAGUGAUGAAGGUCUUCGGAUCGUAAAACUCUGUUAUUAGGGAAGAACAUAUGUGUAAGUAACUGUGCACAUCUUGACGGUACCUAAUCAGAAAGCCACGGCUAACUACGUG